This 492-nucleotide ribosomal RNA is filed under the name uncultured bacterium. Its description in RNAcentral is "bacterial SSU rRNA". It matches the Rfam family "Bacterial small subunit ribosomal RNA", at positions 28 to 507 of the family's 1533-position model. The record is from RNAcentral.
GAUGAACGCUAGCUACAGGCUUAACACAUGCAAGUCGAGGGGAAACGACAUCGAAAGCUUGCUUUUGAUGGGCGUCGACCGGCGCACGGGUGAGUAACGCGUAUCCAACCUGCCCACCACUUGGGGAUAACCUUGCGAAAGUAAGACUAAUACCCAAUGAUAUCCCACGAAGGCAUCCGAAUGGGAUUAAAGAUUUAUCGGUGAUGGAUGGGGAUGCGUCUGAUUAGCUUGUUGGCGGGGUAACGGCCCACCAAGGCUACGAUCAGUAGGGGUUCUGAGAGGAAGGUCCCCCACAUUGGAACUGAGACACGGUCCAAACUCCUACGGGAGGCAGCAGUGAGGAAUAUUGGUCAAUGGGCGAGAGCCUGAACCAGCCAAGUAGCGUGCAGGAUGACGGCCCUAUGGGUUGUAAACUGCUUUUAUAAGGGAAUAAAGUGGGUCACGUGUGACUUUUUACAUGUACCUUAUGAAUAAGGACCGGCUAAUUCCGUG